AGCCUCUGCACUCUUUAUUUGGAAAAAUUUUCACCUUUGUAGGAAAAAAAAAAAUCCUCCGAAUACCACUAAGCAAUCGCAUAUUCAAACAUCUGGCAUGCACGCACAUAUGCAACACAGCUUUAGAAUUUCAGUGGAGUGUGUGGCUUUUAUUUGGGGGUGAUGCUGAGAUCUUUAUUCUGCGAGCACCCAUUAUCCUCUACCUGUCCUAAUUAUGCUAUUUGUAAAAAGAACCAGCAAGAAUGAUGGGUUCUACUGGCCAGCAAGUAGGAGGAAAUGAAUCAUAGCAAAGACAGCUACAAAAACAAAAACAAAACAAACCUGUGAGAAAGCACAGAAGAAGAAUUGAUGUCACUGGAAAAUGCCCUGGGUCCCUGCUGACUGCAACUAACUCCCGGUGACUGAUUUCCAAUGGAUACAGAUGAGGCCUGAGAGGCGGUGCACACAGAUACACCCACAGUCUCAGCAUUCCCAUAAAAGCAGCCUCUGCAUAUUCACUCAGUCUGAAAUAUGAAUACACACAACAGCAAUAAAUUUCCAUUGCCUCCGACUCUGAACACUGCCAAGACUUCCACGUAUGAACGCCAUGAAACAUGUCAGGACUUUCUCGGAGUCUAUGAAGACAGAGAUGGCAUCUGCUCCCAGUGGGAAGCCCUUCUAACCAGUAAUACUAUAAAAUUUCAUGAUUCUGAAUUCUGACUGACAUUCAAAAGGGCAGGGAGGAGGUGUUUACUAUAUUUUAUAGAACAACAUCAAUUGCUUGUCUUAGCACAUAAAUACUGUUUUAUGGUAUACAAUGCCACCUCAA
This is a long non-coding RNA of Canis lupus familiaris (dog), 808 nucleotides long. RefSeq lists it as uncharacterized. The record is from RefSeq and is a predicted model, not a curated record. NCBI's taxonomy places the organism in Eukaryota, Metazoa, Chordata, Mammalia, Carnivora, Canidae. The transcript has 4 exons.